AUGGAAACAUCCCUGGACACGCUCAGCCUCUCCCAGCUCCUGGAUCUCUCCAUUGGGGUACCCGAGAAAGGGGCUGUUCAAUUUGCAGCCUUGAGAAAACUGCUGCAGGUCAUGCUGGAGCACCUGGACGUGCAGUACCUGACCACCGAGGAGCCGUGGCCAGGCCAGCUGAGUGGCCCCUCACUCGCUGAGUUGGCCACUGAGAUGGAACAGAUGAAGAAGGAGAUUAAAAACAACAAGGAACACAUGUCCAAGGUUUUUCUUGAGGAGUUUGAUGAGAUAAGGGCAGAACUUUCCCGCAUGUCAGAGAAUAUUAGGAAGAUCCAGAAGGCACAGGUCUGUGAAUACCACUCUGGUGGUGAUGGUCGUGUUGCCCACACUCCUCGUCUCUGAUACCACUUUCUCCUACAGUCCAGCAUGACAAAGGACAUGAAGAAGAUCCAGAAGGCACAGAAUGAGGUGAACUGCUGCCUGGCUCUGAGACAGCGGCCUGUGCCCUCAGCUCUGCCGGCUGGAUGUGUGGAGAAUGCUGCCUGCAGCCUCCCAGCCUGGCUGAGCCAGGCCCUGCGCUGUUCCCCAGUGCUCCACAAACCAUGGCAGGGCUCAAGGCCUUGCAGGUCCCCACUCACCCUCCCCAGAGACUGACUAGCACCACUCCUCUUUCCUAGGACACGAAUCUCAUGCAGGAUCUCCGUGAGGAGAUCGACAGGAUAAACAUAGCACAGACCCGCAUGGAAGGAGACGUAAAGAAGUCGAAGGAGGCCCUUGGCUUAGUGAGCUGCUGGUUUGCGUCAUCUUUGGGCUCUCAUGGGGAACUUCAAUGGGACUCCAAGAACAGCAGUUUAGGGCCAGGGUCUCAGGAAUGGGUGGGGGGCUCUGGGGUUUUCCGUGCAGCUGAAGGGCCCCCAUGCUGGGACAACAUGAUUGAUGUCUGUGCCCUGACUCUGCCAUCACUGACCUUCCCAGAUGAAGAAGAUGGGAGAAGACAUUAAAAAGCUGAGGGAGGAGACAACCAAGUGGAGAGAAGAGAGCCAUGAAGAGAUCACUCAGCAAAUUGAGUAAGAGGAUAAGAGUGGGUUUCAUACCCUGUGGGGCUGCAAGGAAGCCCAGGGGAUCUGGGAGCAUCCUGGCCUGUGGGUACAGGACAGUGCCCGAGCAGCCCUGCAGGGUAACCCUGCCCUUGCCCCCAUCUCCCUGGCCAGGGCUCUUCUGCAGGAAACAAAGCGGGAGCUGCAGCUUGAGCUGGAAGAGCAGCAGCAGCAGAUGAGGAAUGCCAUGCUGGAGCAGAUGAUGUCUGGGACAACUGGGGUAGGACUCCCACCACCCACUGGCUUGGUGCAGUACCCCUGAUUGUGUUUCCAGCCAUAUUCCCCAACUGGCUGGGGCCACCCAA
RNAcentral lists this long non-coding RNA (1393 nucleotides) under Parus major (Great Tit). RNAcentral describes it as "lncRNA (ENSPMJG00000018927.1)". Lineage: Eukaryota; Metazoa; Chordata; Aves; Passeriformes; Paridae. The record is from RNAcentral.